This 157-nucleotide ribosomal RNA is filed under the name Rhizopus reflexus. RNAcentral's name for it is "Rhizopus stolonifer var. reflexus 5.8S ribosomal RNA". It matches the Rfam family "5.8S ribosomal RNA". From Rfam's summary of the family: 5.8S ribosomal RNA (5.8S rRNA) is a component of the large subunit of the eukaryotic ribosome. It is transcribed by RNA polymerase I as part of the 45S precursor that also contains 18S and 28S rRNA. The record is from RNAcentral. Lineage: Eukaryota; Fungi; Mucoromycota; Mucoromycetes; Mucorales; Rhizopodaceae.
CAACUUUUAACAACGGAUCUCUCGGUCUCGCAUCGAUGAAGAACGUAGCAAAUUGCGAUAACUAGUGUGAAUUGCAUUUUCAGUGAAUCAUCGAGUCUUUGAACGCAUCUUGCGCUCUUGGGAUUCUUCCCUAGAGCACACUUGCUUCAGUAUCAUA